UUUUACCAUGGCUGCCCUGAAUGUUUCGAAAGAGGCACUUUGAAUUCCUUAUCUGGCGUUAGUAUGAGGACCUUGUUUGAAAGAAUAUAUGAAUCAACUGCCAGAUUAAGGAAUCAAGGCUAUAGAGUCAUCAAAGAAUGGAACACGUCUUUAAAAGAAGAUCAAAUGGUGACUUAGAAUUGUAUGAAUUUCUUCUAGGUCAUGAACUACAAGACCGACUUGAACCAAAGGAUGCUUUCUAUGGUGGUAGGACAAAUGCAGUGAAAUUGUUCCUUGAAGGGACAACUAAAUAUGUUGACUUCACUGUAUCCGUGGCUCUGCCGUUGCUGUGCUGAAAGCUUACAGCGAAGCUCUUGUCAUCACAGCGACGAAGAAAGAUCUAUAAUAAGAACAUGGGUAACGGAGGAAGUGAAACUAGCCUUUGAGAAAGGCUAUUUAAUCUCAAAAGAGAAAUCCGAACGUCUUCCAGUCCUACAUACAGAAAAGCGGUGGAUAUCCUUCCGAUUGCACAACUGCUGAAGAAAGGACUUCCUAUAUUCAGCAGUACUUCGAUAAUGAAGGUGUUCUACUGAAUCCUGCUGAAAUAAAAUAAAAACAAAAAAAAUCCAGGGAGACGGCAAGUUGCCAAACUUUCACUGAAAAGCCUUUGGGAGGUGGGAAUGAACAUCAAUAAAUGCCACCUAUCUUAUGUCGAUAGCUUACCUGCAUUUAAUAAGAUGUUAGUUGAUCUUACAAAAAAUGUUAAGGACGUCUACUUGCCAACACCAGAAGUAGCGGCUAUUGUGUGGGACGACAAAAAAAAAAAAAAAAAAACAUUCCUCAAGACACUGGCACCAAUAUUUUCUUGGCUUUCACUGCAGCUUGGGCUCGGCUGAAGCUCUAUUCAGAGAUGGAGAAGCUGUUUUGUAACAUGAUACAGACAGUAUCAUCUACGCUAGUAUUGGUGACAAUGACCCUCCACUGGGAAAUUUUCUGGGAGAUUUCAUAGACGAGUUGGACGGUGAUGUAAUCACUACAUUAAUCUCUGGAGGGCCCAAGAAUUAUGCGUAUGAAACUUCGAGUGGCGAGACAUGCUGCAAAGUUCGGGGGUUUACCUUGAACUUUAAAAAUAGUUUAGCGUUGAAUUUUCAUUCGAUCAAGCAUAUUGUAUGCAGCUUGGACAGAAAGGACAGCAUACUGUUAGAUGAUGCCGCCAAGAUAACGAGAGACGCGAAAAGAAGGAAAGUCUUCUACGCGAAGCAGAAUAAUCUAUACAGGAUGGUGUACAACAAGAGGGUUGCAAAAAAAUCUUUCGACCAUACCCUAUGGAUU
Molecule: long non-coding RNA, 1311 nt
Organism: Argiope bruennichi
Lineage: Eukaryota; Metazoa; Arthropoda; Arachnida; Araneae; Araneidae
Exons: 6
Source: RefSeq, a predicted model, not a curated record